AGAUGAUUGACCUCUCUAGCUCAGGGCUGGCAAUGGGGAGCCUGUGACUGGCCAAGUGUUGUUGGACUCCAUUUCCCAUCUUCUCUGAACAUUGGCCAUGCUGGCUGAGGCUGAUGGGAGUCAGAAUCUAGAGAGCCAUAGGCGAUGCCCUGAGUCCCUUCCGGUUCUUCGAAUUCUGUAUCUGUGGGGUUGAAUUCGUGAGAGCAAGCUUGCCCAAUCGCUUCCUGUGUCUAGGUAAUGGUUUUGGCUGACCACUGCACUUGGCACUGCACUUAGCAACGCCAAAUAACUUGCCCUGUGCCAUAGAGCAAAUGGGCAGACCUUUUCCUCACCCCUCACCUAACCACUAGGUAGGAGAACAAAUGCCAGUGUUGUGUCUGAGCUGAGUUGGAAGCAGACUGGAAGCUGGAGACACAGAGACAUGCUUGCUCUGUGCUGGAUCCAAAGUUGUGACCAAUGGAGAAGCAAGAUAUUUUGGGGUGUCAAUGCUGUGAGUCCCUCCAUCCUAUGCUCAGGUUGUGUAUACAUGUAAAUAAAAGCAUAUAUCUUAAAGACUCCAUAGUCUCUUCUGGCCUUCAUCCCAAGGAAAUGCCUGGAACCCCUGGAAUCUCUCAGAGAUUGGGGGUGGCAUGCAACAAGAUAUUAGAUGUCCUUUCUGGCCCAGAAAUAUCUGAAAGAGAUUUAGUGCUACAUUGAAGACAUUCCCAAGCAGGCAAGUCGAGUAAGACAUCAGAGUGCAAAAGGAAAUCUUCCUUACAAUCCCUCUGUAAAUGAAAGCUGUGUGCCCUUCCCAUGUAUAAUUGGCUGCUAGCGAAAGCUCUUGUAAUCUCAGAAAAUGCAGCUGGAAAAUAUGUUGCUUAGCUUUCAGGGCACUUUACAAAGGGGAUUCAGCCUCCAAUGUUGUUAGGGGCUGCAUAAAGACCUUCCCACAAAGUCCUGGAUUUGCUCGUCUGCUUGCUUAGGAAGGUAUGUGAGAUGAUGAUGAUUCUCCUUGCUCUCAGAAGGUGUUCUGCAAAACUAGAGCAUCACUGGGCUUUAGAUAAUUGAGGCUUUACAUUUCAAACACACCAAAACACCAGCCACUGCAGAUCCUUGGCAGCUCUGAGGAAAUCCUUGAUCGCUCUGAGGAAAGAGCCAACGAUAGUGAACAAAAAUCUGGAGCAUGCUAUGUCUUAAACUGAUUUGAGUGUCUGGAGUUUGUCUCACAUGUGAGUGACCUCCAAGCCCUCCCUGAAUGCCUGAGUAGGGCAGGGAGGAACAGGGCACUCUAGACCAGUGUGUUCCCAAACUUUGAUCUCCAGAUGUUUCUGGACUACAACUCCCAUCAUCCCGAGCUAGCAGAACCAGUGGUCAGGGGUGAUGGGACUGUAGUCCAAAAGCAGCUGGUGACCUAAGUGUGAGAAACUCUGCUCUAGACCCUUGGAAAUGCAGCUAGUGUCUGAGUUGAAUAUUUCUGCUUGGGAAAGCAAGCACAAGUACAAAGGGCAAGUGUAAUGUCUCAGAUGUGAAGGGCAGAGAAGUGUCGUUUUUAUGUGCUCGUCCCUUUAAAGCAAGUGAAAGUGGGAAAUGAUUGGGCACCUGUUUCUGUAUGAUUGAAAGUUUUUCCCAACCUGGUGCCUCUCCAGAUGUUGUUGGACUGAAGGGUCCCAUCAUGCCUGAGCACUGAGCAUACCAGCUAGAGCUGGUGCAAGGCCUGGGAGGCUGGGAUAAGCAGUUUUAACAAUAGAUAUGUGCACAUUUCACAUGCUGUAAAAGUGAGUGUACAUGGAGGGCCAGUUUCUACAGUGGAAUGCAGUGGUGACACUUUUCAGCAGGAGCUGAUGGUGUGGUCAGGCUGCAAUGCCCACCUGAUCUCCCUCCUGAUGUCCCAAAGUGGAACAGAGAGGGGGGGUCAGCACGAUGCAAACAUACCUGCAGGAAGAAGCUUGCGCUGAUGUAGCAAUCUCCUUAGCACUGCACUGAAUUCCCCCCUGCCGUUUAAAUAGAAAUACAAUGCAUCUCACUACAGAGGGGAAGACAGCAACAGGGUGAUCUGUGUACCUGCUCAGCCUGCUCUGUUGAUGGGGAAUUGCAAGACCUCUACUCUCUCUCCUUCUCUACUCUCUCUCCUUAUGGUUCUUUAUCUUUAACCAAACCUGGACCGGGCAGCCCCGCAAAUAGAAAACUCCUUCAAAUUGAGGUCGGUCCCUUAUAAAGUAGGGCACAUGGCCACCCUAUGCUGCCAGACAUUGUGAGCCAUCUUGAGUUAUAUCACCUGUAAUCAUCCAGUUGUUCCUGGACUACAACUCCCAUCAUCCCUGAGCACUGGCCAGGUUGUUGACUUGGGAUGAUGGGAGCUGUAGUCCAGCAACAUCUGGAGAUCCUCAUACAUUUUAAAUUGCAGUUAAAGACAUAGAAUCAUGACCUAGUUGAGAAGUAACAAUCCCAUGGAUUGGUUGGCAAGAGUUAAUGGAUCCAGCUCCUGAGAAGGCUUCUGUAACUAGGCAUGGCUUCUUUCUCACACACGCAUACCCUGCCCCUACAAUGCUUCAGAGACCAAAAUUACACUUGGUGAGGGUUCUCUUUGUCCUACAAAUCCUAACAGUACACUAGUCCAUUGUCUUGGACACCAUAGGUCAGCCUUCGUCAAGCUGGUGCUCUUCAGAUGUUGUUGGAGUCCAUCUCCCAUCGGCCCCAGCCAGCAUGGCCAAUGAUCAGGGACUUUCAUUUUCAUUUGUUUUGACAAUUUGUAUCCUGCUUAAUUACAGUCUUCUCUAAGUGGGGUACAGCAGACUCAGUACAAUAAAAGAUGCCCCUGACAUUUUCAGGUUGGGCUGGGAAUGUUCCCUGCCUGAAAGCCUGGCGAGAUCCUGCCAGCCAGUGUAGACAACACUGUGGUAGAUGGACCAGUGAUCUUACAAGGUAUAAUUCACCUUUUUUUAUGUUCCUAUGAAGGGCCAUAGGUUUCUGAACCCUGUGCUAACUCCGGCAUUCGUUGAAUGAAAGCUCAUGGCUAAUGCAAAAGAGCUACUCCUCAGUCCCUUCCACAUACAAAGUGCAUCUAGGGCUAGGCUGACUAUACCCUUCCAGCCAUUCAUUCAUUCAUUCAUUCAUUCUUGUUUAUUUGCUGAAUCCAAGGAGUUCAACAUGGCAUACAAGUGUGGUGAUCGCACAGGGUCCCUGGAUGUUUCACCAUCUAUUGAUCCCUGUGCCACCACUUUAUUUCUCGCUGCCACCACCCAGGCCCUACCUGGGACAAUACUGAGUCCAGUCAGGGUUAAAUUGAAACAUAAACUUCUGUUUAUUUCUUGCAGUUUAACAAGCAUAUAGUUUCAUAAACAGUAUCAGUCAAUUACAUUCAUCGGGUGCCUAUCCAGACCUCUAACUUCCACUACCUGCUCUCACUCACUAAACCACCUCUCAGAUAUUUACUUGUCUGCCUAGCCCCUAACUGUUCCUGACUCAGCCUAUUUCGCUACACUAACUCAACCUACCCACAAACUCUAUCCCAAUUAACUCCCACUCCAACCAACCACCCAAAUGCCAACGAAUUCUCCCCUUCGCCCCUCCCAGAGCUGGUCUUAUAGUCCCUCUGACUCCACCCCCCUGGGUCCUGACUGGGCAACCUGUUUAACUAUUUCACCUCCAGCACUCUCUCAUAUGUUAACAUCACAACUAGGUCCUCUCUCUCUCCUGGAAGGUAGGUUGAACUGAGAGUUUGUGACUGGGGCCAAGGUAGCCCAAGGAGCUUCAUGGCUGAGUGGGGAUUUGAACCCUGGUCUGCCAUGUCCAAUGCUCUAACCACUACAUAGACAAGUUUCCUUUCUCUUGGAGAUUUCACCCAAUACAGCUACCCGAUGGUUUGUUUUGAGAGCUCCUUUGGCUCUAGCAAGGCAGUGACCUUCAGAGCAUCUUGAAAUGGCCCAUUAGUUUCUGUAGGCACUUGAGGGGAGAGAAGGAUGAUGACUGGGUGCUUACGACUGAAAGCUUACUUGGCACGCAGCCCAUCUGUGGCUGCCUUGAUUUAAUUAAUGAUUUACAUUUUAUUCAUGUGUGAUGGCUGCCAGCAGGGAAUCAUACCAGAAGUUAAACAGAGGGGCCUCUCCUUCGAGGCUGGAUGUAUAAAAUCCAAGAUCCGUCCUAAUUCCCAAUAAUGGAAAGUUUAAAAAAUCUUAAAGCUUCUGCGUGCUCCCCUGAAUAUCUACCAAUAUGUUUAUUUAUUUUUAUUGGAUUUAUAUAUCACCCUUCAUCAAAAGAUCCCUGAAGGGGAUAAAAUACAAGAUGAAAGCACAAAUAAAUAGUUUAGCACAAACAAAUACAGUGGUACCUCGGGUUAAGAACUUAAUUCGUUCCAGAGGUCCGUUCUUAACCUGAAACUGUUCUUAACCUGAGGUACCACUUUAGCUAACGGGGCCUCCCGCUGCUGCCGCGCCGCUGAAGCACGAUUUCUGUUCUCAUCCUGAAGCAAAGUUCUUAACCUGAGGUACUAUUUCUGGGAUAGCAGAGUCUGUAACCUGAAGCGUCUGUAACCUGAAGCGUCUGUAACCCGAGGUACCACUGUAGUCAACAGUGCCUCUUUAAUAAUAAUAAUAACAAUAAUUUUUAUUUAUACCCCGCCCUCCCCAGCCAAGGCCGGGCUCAGGGAGGCUAACAAGCAAUAAUAAAAACAAGUUGAAUGAAUACAACUUAAAAACAAGAUUAAAAUACAACAUUAAAAUAUUGAAACAUUAAAAUGCAGCCUCAUCACAGGAGGAGAAAGGAAAAAGAAAGAAAGUUUCAUAAGAGGCAGAAACUCAGCUGGUGCAGUGAUGGAUUAGGAAGACAGCAAGCUGCCUUAUACUGAAUCAGACCGUCAAGACCAUGGUAAGAAACCUGCUGGCUCAGGCCAGUGACCCACCUUGCCUAGCAUCCAGGUCUCACAGUAGCACAACAGCCAACCAGAUAACAGUGGAAUACCCAAAAAUAGGACCUGAGCAGAAGAGCACUCUCCCCUCAUUUGGCUUGCAGCAACUGGUGGUAUUCAGAGACUGCCCUCAAGAACAUUCAGAGACUGCCCACAGAACAUAGCCAAGGCACAGUCUGACC
Non-coding RNA from Podarcis lilfordi (Lilford's wall lizard), 5064 nucleotides. NCBI's taxonomy places the organism in Eukaryota, Metazoa, Chordata, Lepidosauria, Squamata, Lacertidae. The record is from the annotation of a GenBank genome assembly.